Molecule: long non-coding RNA, 701 nt
Organism: Haliotis rubra (blacklip abalone)
Lineage: Eukaryota; Metazoa; Mollusca; Gastropoda; Lepetellida; Haliotidae
Exons: 2
Source: RefSeq, a predicted model, not a curated record
CAGUGAGUCAGUCCGUUUAAAUGAAAUAUUUGACAGUGGUAAUUUCCCUAAAACAUGGAGUAAAAGUAUAAUAUGUCCUUUUUGUAAAUCUGGCUGUAAAGAUGACCCCAAUAAUUAUAGAGGCAUGUCCCUCAUUGGGUGUCCUCUCACUUAGACAGAUUCUGUCAAAACUGGUCUCUCGCAUAGCCAUAGUGGGAUUUGGCUGACUAGGGUUAGUGUUUUGAUAACACUUAGUCCAGAUGAGCCAUAGUUUGUUUCAACAAAAUGCUCAAUUAGUGAGAUUAGUGAAAUUUGUAUUAAAGGUGAGAUACAUGUACAUUCAUAUGGUAUUAUUUGAAUUUUUUGGAGAAUUUGAGGCUUCAGUGGCUAGUGCUAAUUACCUGGCUCGCAUCUCUCACCUAGUCAUAGUGCAAUGUUGUCUUAACAAGACCUGUUUGGUUAGACUCUGACUAAGUGAGAGUGAACCCCUCAUUGACUCUAUUUGGAAAAUAUUUGCUUCUAUUUUGAACAAACGCCUUCAGAAAUGGUGUGAUAUUUAUGAAAUUAUUAUAUAUAUAUAUAUAUAUAUAUUAUGUACAAAUUAGAAUUCAAGGGCAGACCAUUUUUAUAAAUUCAUGUCUGCCAUUCAUGUGAUGUGUUAUCCUGCAUGUGACUGUAUCAUGGGCCAGUGGGCUUUUAAUGAAUAAAACUGUCUGUCUGUC